CCUACGGGCGGCAGCAGUGGGGAAUAUUGCACAAUGGGGGAAACCCUGAUGCAGCGACGCCGCGUGAGUGAGGAAGUAUCUCGGUAUGUAAAGCUCUAUCAGCAGGGAAGAAAAUGACGGUACCUGACUAAGAAGCACCGGCUAACUACGUGGCAGCAGCCGCGGUAAUACGUAGGGGGCAAGCGUUAUCCGGAUUUACUGGGUGUAAAGGGAGCGUAGACGGUUAAUCAAGUCAGAAGUGAAAACCCAGGGCUCAACCUUGGGACUGCUUUUGAAACUGAGUAGCUAGAGUGGAGGAGAGGUAAGCGGAAUGCGUGGUGUAGCGGUGAAAUGCGUAGAUAUUAGGAAGAACACCGGUGGCGAAGGCGGCUUACUGGACUGUAACUGACGUUGAGGCUCGAAAGCGUGGGGAGCGAACAGGAUUAGAUACCCGAGUAGUC
Molecule: ribosomal RNA, 440 nt
Filed under: uncultured bacterium
Lineage: Bacteria
Description: partial 16S ribosomal RNA
Rfam family: Bacterial small subunit ribosomal RNA
Source: RNAcentral